UCUCACAGUGCUUUGUAAUGCAAAGGUGA
RNAcentral lists this non-coding RNA (29 nucleotides) under Mus musculus (house mouse). Lineage: Eukaryota; Metazoa; Chordata; Mammalia; Rodentia; Muridae. The record is from RNAcentral.